RNAcentral lists this ribosomal RNA (105 nucleotides) under Atractosteus spatula (alligator gar). Lineage: Eukaryota; Metazoa; Chordata; Actinopteri; Semionotiformes; Lepisosteidae. RNAcentral also lists the same sequence under 1 other name. The record is from RNAcentral.
AGCGGCAGCUAUAUCACCCAGCUCAAAACCUACUGAAGCUCAGCAGGUCUGAGCCUGGCCAGUACCUGGAUGGGAGACCUUCUGGGAAAGCUAGGGUUGCUGCUG